RNAcentral lists this ribosomal RNA (253 nucleotides) under uncultured bacterium. RNAcentral's name for it is "partial 16S ribosomal RNA". It matches the Rfam family "Bacterial small subunit ribosomal RNA", at positions 524 to 776 of the family's 1533-position model. The record is from RNAcentral.
UACAGAGGUCUCAAGCGUUGUUCGGAUUCAUUGGGCGUAAAGGGUGCGUAGGAGGGCAGGUAAGUCAGUGGUGAAAUCCCCGAGCUUAACUUGGGAACUGCCGUUGAUACUAUCUGUCUUGAAUACCGUGGAGGUGAGCGGAAUAUGUCAUGUAGCGGUGAAAUGCUUAGAUAUGACAUAGAACACCAAUUGCGAAGGCAGCUCGCUACACGAAUAUUGACUCUGAGGCACGAAAGCGUGGGGAUCAAACAGG